CCACGGGGCCAAUGAGCGGGCGGCGGGCCGCCGCCUCGCGCCGCGGCCGUUGCGGCGGGGCGGAGCCGUUGCGGGGUGCUCGCAGCCAAAAUACUGUUGACAUGAAUUUGUUAGUGUCGGAGUACCAGAAGGGUUCUUUGUUUCGAAUGGAGUAAUUUUCAAUUCUUUGAAGUAUCUCUCUGGAUUGUGCAUGAAUCUCUUGCCAAGUGCAAAGAUCAUUUGACUGUGAAGAAAAGAUCAUUAAAAAAUGCUGUCCUAGGCUUUGGCUGGAUCAGAAGACAUUCAGAAGGAGCAAUGCGGUUUGGGUGCUGCCGCUCAGGAAUAUGUCUACUCAUGUAACUCCUUCUGUCAUGCAGAAAAAGUGUAUUGUGGGUUCCCUCUACGGCAACAUAAAAGGAUCUGUUAGGGUAUAUAUUUGUGUGCAAACAUUAUUUCUCACUUCAUGGGUUUGUUGGUGAAUCUGGCAUGCAAGAUGGAUGUUAUUGCAAGGCAAGCUUUUAUAGAUCAGAGGCUUCAUCGUCUGUAAAUAGUUUUUAAAGUGACUUCUACUGAAAGAACUUCUUACAAAUAUGUUUAAACAGUUUACUCAGCUGAAACAGACUGAAUGUAGAUCUAAAUGUAUUCUGAAUUGUUUUACAUAAAAUUUGCAUGCAGUUCUUUAUUUCAGCUUGUCUUGGCAGAAGUCGUAAGUAGUUGAAGAAAAGCAUACGUUCAUUACCAUACCCAUGAAGUUGAUAUUUACUGAAAAUAGUAAGUGCUGUCCUGUACAACUAGUAGACUCUUUAAGGAGAAGCAAGUUAAAUAGUUCUUCAGCAUUGUGUCUGAACUAAGUCUCCAAAGGUAUACAGGUAAAAUUUAAAACUACCGAUAUCUUACAGGUCAGUAAAUAUGCUCAAGGUUAUAUGUCAUUCCUUAUAUGCAAAUGUUUCAAGUGUCGUUGCUUGAAA
This is a long non-coding RNA of Rhea pennata, 947 nucleotides long. RefSeq lists it as uncharacterized. Lineage: Eukaryota; Metazoa; Chordata; Aves; Rheiformes; Rheidae. The transcript has 4 exons. The record is from RefSeq and is a predicted model, not a curated record.